This 231-nucleotide long non-coding RNA is filed under the name Ictidomys tridecemlineatus (thirteen-lined ground squirrel). RNAcentral describes it as "lncRNA (ENSSTOG00000033921.1)". The record is from RNAcentral. Lineage: Eukaryota; Metazoa; Chordata; Mammalia; Rodentia; Sciuridae.
CAUCAGCAAGGAGGACGAGGCCGGGGGCUCAGCCCCCACCGUCGCACCCGCCCGGCCUUUGUUCUCUUCCAGUCGUCACCUGGGCCUCUACCACAGGAAUCAUGCAGCCUUCACAGAGGAGGAAACAAGCUGAGAAGGAGGAUGCUUGGUCAAGCUUGCAAAACAGGAACCUUUAGACUCCCACCUGCACCCCUGUCCCCACUAUAAAUAUACUCAGAAAGAGUGGUCCCU